Cinara cedri is the source of this 445-nucleotide non-coding RNA. The record is from the annotation of a GenBank genome assembly. Lineage: Eukaryota; Metazoa; Arthropoda; Insecta; Hemiptera; Aphididae.
CUGGAACGUAUGAGACUGUCGAUAUUUAUUGUUAACCCUGACCACUCAAUUGGAAUAUUCGGCUAUUCCUACAACCGUUACCGGGUUUCGGGACCGGAUUGAUGAACUGAUAUAAAUUAAAGUCUCUGCGGUGCUCGAUAAUUUGGAAACAAUUUUAGAAAUCGUCGUUUAUAGUGCGACACAGGCGCGCACCCAGGAUUUUUGUUUGAAGGGGGCUUAAACAUUUUCCUAUUAUUCUUACACACAAGUAUCAAACGACUAUCACUAAUUUUUAAAUAUUUUUUUUUUAUUAUUACCGCAUAGCGCAUGGUUUUAAGUGUAUAAUAUUAAUAACUAAACACUAUGACGUAUAAAUUUAAAAAAAAAAAAAAAGAACUGUCAUUACUUUGGAUUGUCCCAAUGGCGGAAUCGAAUGGACUGAAUGAAUUGUUCCAACGGACGAACG